This 138-nucleotide non-coding RNA is filed under the name Desulfobacteraceae bacterium. RNAcentral's name for it is "TPP sequence". It matches the Rfam family "TPP riboswitch aptamer (THI element)". Rfam says of the family: Vitamin B(1) in its active form thiamin pyrophosphate (TPP) is an essential coenzyme that is synthesised by coupling of pyrimidine and thiazole moieties in bacteria. The previously detected thiamin-regulatory element, thi box was extended, resulting in a new, highly conserved RNA secondary structure, the THI element, which is widely distributed in eubacteria and also occurs in some archaea. The record is from RNAcentral. Lineage: Bacteria; Pseudomonadati; Thermodesulfobacteriota; Desulfobacteria; Desulfobacterales; Desulfobacteraceae.
AAAAUCCGAUUGGGGUGUUCCGCAUGAAUAUGUCAGAGACCAUUUGAUGUUAAACAAGUGUCUCCGAUGGGACUGAGAAAAAACCCACUGAACCUGAUACAGUUAAUGCUGUCGUAGGGAACUCGGAGAAUAUGAUCU